CUUUGAUUGUUCAUUAGGAUUGUACUUGUAGGAUUUAUGUAAUAUGAUGAACUUGUAAGAAAAUGUUGUGAAAUGUAAUUUGGAACAUGACUUUGUAAUUUAUGGAAAUGUUGUAAUGCUUGUGUAAUGUCAUGGUUUUGUGAUUUAUGCGCUUUGAGCGCAAAUGUAUUUUGGAAUUGGAAUGAAAUUGGCAAAUGCAAUGGUUAUCUAGUGU
RNAcentral lists this long non-coding RNA (214 nucleotides) under Lathyrus oleraceus (garden pea). Its description in RNAcentral is "Pisum sativum (pea) long non-coding RNA (PSAT_LNC026847)". The record is from RNAcentral. Lineage: Eukaryota; Viridiplantae; Streptophyta; Magnoliopsida; Fabales; Fabaceae.